This 40-nucleotide transfer RNA is filed under the name Heterocapsa rotundata. RNAcentral describes it as "partial tRNA". Lineage: Eukaryota; Dinophyceae; Peridiniales; Heterocapsaceae. The record is from RNAcentral.
AACCUAGGCUCAAACAAGUUUUUGUCGCCCCCCCCGCUCA